This 1145-nucleotide ribosomal RNA is filed under the name Klebsiella variicola. RNAcentral describes it as "bacterial SSU rRNA". It matches the Rfam family "Bacterial small subunit ribosomal RNA", at positions 35 to 1174 of the family's 1533-position model. The record is from RNAcentral. Lineage: Bacteria; Pseudomonadati; Pseudomonadota; Gammaproteobacteria; Enterobacterales; Enterobacteriaceae.
GCCUGGCGGCAGCUACACAUGCAAGUCGAGCGGUAGCACAGAGAGCUUGCUCUCGGGUGACGAGCGGCGGACGGGUGAGUAAUGUCUGGGAAACUGCCUGAUGGAGGGGGAUAACUACUGGAAACGGUAGCUAAUACCGCAUAACGUCGCAAGACCAAAGUGGGGGACCUUCGGGCCUCAUGCCAUCAGAUGUGCCCAGAUGGGAUUAGCUGGUAGGUGGGGUAACGGCUCACCUAGGCGACGAUCCCUAGCUGGUCUGAGAGGAUGACCAGCCACACUGGAACUGAGACACGGUCCAGACUCCUACGGGAGGCAGCAGUGGGGAAUAUUGCACAAUGGGCGCAAGCCUGAUGCAGCCAUGCCGCGUGUGUGAAGAAGGCCUUCGGGUUGUAAAGCACUUUCAGCGGGGAGGAAGGCGGUGAGGUUAAUAACCUCAUCGAUUGACGUUACCCGCAGAAGAAGCACCGGCUAACUCCGUGCCAGCAGCCGCGGUAAUACGGAGGGUGCAAGCGUUAAUCGGAAUUACUGGGCGUAAAGCGCACGCAGGCGGUCUGUCAAGUCGGAUGUGAAAUCCCCGGGCUCAACCUGGGAACUGCAUUCGAAACUGGCAGGCUAGAGUCUUGUAGAGGGGGGUAGAAUUCCAGGUGUAGCGGUGAAAUGCGUAGAGAUCUGGAGGAAUACCGGUGGCGAAGGCGGCCCCCUGGACAAAGACUGACGCUCAGGUGCGAAAGCGUGGGGAGCAAACAGGAUUAGAUACCCUGGUAGUCCACGCUGUAAACGAUGUCGAUUUGGAGGUUGUGCCCUUGAGGCGUGGCUUCCGGAGCUAACGCGUUAAAUCGACCGCCUGGGGAGUACGGCCGCAAGGUUAAAACUCAAAUGAAUUGACGGGGGCCCGCACAAGCGGUGGAGCAUGUGGUUUAAUUCGAUGCAACGCGAAGAACCUUACCUGGUCUUGACAUCCACAGAACUUUCCAGAGAUGGAUUGGUGCCUUCGGGAACUGUGAGACAGGUGCUGCAUGGCUGUCGUCAGCUCGUGUUGUGAAAUGUUGGGUUAAGUCCCGCAACGAGCGCAACCCUUAUCCUUUGUUGCCAGCGGUUAGGCCGGGAACUCAAAGGAGACUGCCAGUGAUAAACUGGAAGAAAGG